RNAcentral lists this ribosomal RNA (463 nucleotides) under uncultured Oscillospiraceae bacterium. RNAcentral's name for it is "partial 16S ribosomal RNA". The record is from RNAcentral. Lineage: Bacteria; Bacillati; Bacillota; Clostridia; Eubacteriales; Oscillospiraceae.
CACGUAGUUAGCCGGAGCUUCCUCCUCUGCUACCGUCAUCAUCUUCACAGAGGACAGAGGUUUACAAUCCGAAAACCGUCUUCCCUCACGCGGCGUUGCUGGUUCAGGGUUUCCCCCAUUGACCAAUAUCCCUUACUGCUGCCUCCCGUAGGAGUCUGGGCCGUGUCUCAGUCCCAAUGUGGCCGUCAACCUCUCAGUCCGGCUACCGAUCGUCGGCUUGGUGGGCCGUUACCCCACCAACUACCUAAUCGGACGCGAGCCCAUCCUUUCAGCGGAUUGCUCCUUUGAUUAUCCUACCAUGCGAUAAGAUAAUGUCAUGCGGUUAUUAGUCGUUCGUUUCCAAACGUUACUCCCCCUCUAGAAAGGCAGGUUGCUCACGCGUUACUCACCCGUCCCGCACUAAGAUACUCCAAGAUUCAUUUACCGAAGUUACUUCAUCAGCGAAUUAUCCUCGUUCGACUUG